Long non-coding RNA from Vitis riparia (riverbank grape), 739 nucleotides. RefSeq lists it as uncharacterized. The transcript has 6 exons. Lineage: Eukaryota; Viridiplantae; Streptophyta; Magnoliopsida; Vitales; Vitaceae. The record is from RefSeq and is a predicted model, not a curated record.
AAACCCACAAAACCUACCCAUUGCCCCCAUUGCUUGGAGGAAGCCAUUGCCGGAAAAAGCUUAUGGAAGCCAUGCCGAAGAAGCCCCAUGGAAGCUAUGGUCUGUAAAGUCAAAGCCACCUCCAAGAAACUCCCGUAAAAAUCGUUUCUCUCUAGGUUUUGGUUUUGGUGCUUUUGGAAAAACCACACUUAAUUACUUCCUAAGGAAAUGUCACAUCGAAGAGGAAGAGUACAAAUAGUGUCUCCAGAAGAUGAGUUGGACAAUCUACAACAACUCUUAGACAUACAACCUGCUGCAACUACUACUCCUAGUAGUUCUGAUCCUUCUGAUUCUUCAGAUCCUUCUGUUGUUGGAAAAAUAUGAACUAGAAGAAACAUGUAAGAGCUACAUUCUUCAAUGUUGUGGAAAUUUGUUUAGAAGCUAUAGAAAUAAAAUGAAGGCCAAGUAUUAUAACCCUUAUAAUACAGAUGAGGAGAGAUUGUGCCAUCGACCUCCACACUUAUCGGAUGAUGAUUGGAGGUGGCUCAUCCACUUUUGGGGUACACCUGAGGCUAAGGAUAUCUCAGAAAAAAAACAAGGCAAAUAGGGCAAAACAAGUGAUAAAGCAUACAUCGGGAUCAAAAAGUUAUGCUCAAAUUCGAUAUGAACAGGCACAAAAGAAAGAGGAUCGAAGUGAGCCCAAUAGAAUUGAGAUGUUUGCCUUGACACACACAAGAAAAGAUGGGGCGCAUGUUGAUGA